GGUUGACCUCGGAUCAGGUAGGAGUUACCCGCUGAACUUAAGCAUAUC
RNAcentral lists this ribosomal RNA (48 nucleotides) under Talaromyces marneffei. Its description in RNAcentral is "28S ribosomal RNA". Lineage: Eukaryota; Fungi; Ascomycota; Eurotiomycetes; Eurotiales; Trichocomaceae. The record is from RNAcentral.